CUCUCCUUCCAGUAGCUCAGUCAUUAAAAAAGUCUUAUUGGUUCAAAAGAUUUCAACACUGGAUCAAGAUCAGAAAAUAGAAAUACUUAGACACGUACAGAAGCCACCUUCUUAACAGCUACGUUUGACCUCAGUUGAAAAGCUCCGGGUAAACAAGUCAUCCCAAGAGUCCCCCCUUCAGUUCCAAACAGCUUGUGUCCCAUCAGUACGCGUGUUUUGCCAGGACCGAUGACAGGAAAACAGUCUCAGCUUGUGUUCAUAAUAAGCUCCCAUACUGGAGAAGAGCAUGUUGGAAGGUUGGAAGAGAAGCGCACUGCCUGUCAUUAGGCCCAGCGGGUUGAGCGGUUGUGAAGAUGCUCGAGAGAGAGAGAGAG
Long non-coding RNA from Sinocyclocheilus rhinocerous, 374 nucleotides. RefSeq lists it as uncharacterized. NCBI's taxonomy places the organism in Eukaryota, Metazoa, Chordata, Actinopteri, Cypriniformes, Cyprinidae. The transcript is spliced from 3 exons. The record is from RefSeq and is a predicted model, not a curated record.